RNAcentral lists this ribosomal RNA (274 nucleotides) under uncultured bacterium. Its description in RNAcentral is "partial 16S ribosomal RNA". It matches the Rfam family "Bacterial small subunit ribosomal RNA", at positions 523 to 796 of the family's 1533-position model. The record is from RNAcentral.
AUACGGAGGGGGCAAGCGUUGUUCGGAAUUAUUGGGCGUAAAGGGCACGUAGGCGGUCAAGUAAGUUGGUGGUGAAAGCCCUCGGCUCAACCGAGGAAUUGCCCCCAAAACUGCUUGACUUGAGUCCCGGAGAGGGUGGCGGAAUUCCCAGUGUAGCGGUGAAAUGCGUAGAUAUUAGGAGGAACACCAGUGGCGAAGGCGGUCACCUGGACGGGUACUGACGCUGAGGUGCGAAAGCGUGGGGAGCAAACAGGAUUAGAAACCCCGGUAGUCC